Molecule: ribosomal RNA, 185 nt
Filed under: Rhodeus notatus (rosy bitterling)
Lineage: Eukaryota; Metazoa; Chordata; Actinopteri; Cypriniformes; Acheilognathidae
Description: partial large subunit ribosomal RNA
Source: RNAcentral
CUCUAACACUUAAGCACCUCACAACAUAUAAUAAAUACUCUAAAUUUAUAAACUAAAUCAUUCUUUUACCUAAGUAUGGGAGACAGAAAAGGUUAAACCUGAAGCAAUAGAAAAAGUACCGCAAGGGAAGGCUGAAAGAGAACUGAAACAACCCAUUAAAGCAAAAUAAACCAAGACUAAACCUG